GAUCCUGGCUCAGGAUGAACGCUGGCGGCGUGCUUAACACAUGCAAGUCGAACGAAGCGGUUUAACGGAAGUUUUCGGAUGGAAGUUAAACUGACUGAGUGGCGGACGGGUGAGUAACGCGUGGGUAACCUGCCUCACACAGGGGGACAACAGCUAGAAAUGGCUGCUAAUACCGCAUAAGCGCACAGCUUCGCAUGAAGCAGUGUGAAAAACUCCGGUGGUGUGAGAUGGACCCGCGU
This 239-nucleotide ribosomal RNA is filed under the name uncultured bacterium. RNAcentral describes it as "partial 16S ribosomal RNA". It matches the Rfam family "Bacterial small subunit ribosomal RNA", at positions 15 to 236 of the family's 1533-position model. The record is from RNAcentral.